GGAAUCAGUUCGCCGCGUUUUGUCCGAAGGUUA
This 33-nucleotide non-coding RNA is filed under the name Geobacter metallireducens GS-15. The record is from RNAcentral. Lineage: Bacteria; Pseudomonadati; Thermodesulfobacteriota; Desulfuromonadia; Geobacterales; Geobacteraceae.